AAACCAACAGGGAUUGCCUUAGUAACGGCGAGUGAAGCGGCAACAGCUCAAAUUUGAAAUCUGGCUCCUUCGGGGUCCGAGUUGUAAUUUGUAGAGGAUGUUUCGGGCACGGUCCGGGCUUAAAUUUCUUGGAACAGAAUGUCAGAGAGGGUGAGAAUCCCGUCUGGAGUCUGUCGACACGGCCUAUGUGAAACUCCUUCGACGAGUCGAGUUGUUUGGGAAUGCAGCUCUAAAUGGGUGGUAAAUUUCAUCUAAAGCUAAAUAUUGGCCAGAGACCGAUAGCGCACAAGUAGAGUGAUCGAAAGAUGAAAAGCACUUUGAAAAGAGAGUUAAACAGUAUGUGAAAUUGUUGAAAGGGAAGCGCUGGCAACCAGACUUGCGCGUCGCGGUUCCCCCUGGCUUCUGCCUGGGUUACUCCGCGGCGUUCAGGCCAACAUCGGUUUCGGGGGUCGGUUAAAGGCCCGGGGAAUGUACCUACUCUUCGGGGUAGACUUAUAGCCCUGGGUGUCAUGCGACCUCCCGGGACCGAGGAACGCGCUUCGGCUCGGAUGUUGGCGUAAUGGUUGUCAGCGAC
This 574-nucleotide ribosomal RNA is filed under the name Xenobotrytis acaducospora. Its description in RNAcentral is "eukaryotic LSU rRNA". It matches the Rfam family "Eukaryotic large subunit ribosomal RNA", at positions 62 to 648 of the family's 3401-position model. The record is from RNAcentral. Lineage: Eukaryota; Fungi; Ascomycota; Eurotiomycetes.